This 405-nucleotide unclassified non-coding RNA is filed under the name soil metagenome. Its description in RNAcentral is "partial contains 5.8S ribosomal RNA, internal transcribed spacer 2, and large subunit ribosomal RNA". The stretch from base 1 to 121 matches the Rfam family "5.8S ribosomal RNA", at positions 35 to 154 of the family's 154-position model. The record is from RNAcentral.
GAUGAAGAACGCAGCGAAAUGCGAUAAGUAAUGUGAAUUGCAGAAUUCAGUGAAUCAUCGAAUCUUUGAACGCACCUUGCGCCCUUUGGCCAUUCCGAAGGGCAUGCCUGUUUGAGUAUCAUGAACACCUCAACUCUUCAUGGUUUUCCGUGAUGAGCUUGGACUUUGGGGGUCUUGCUGGCCUAUGGUCAGCUCCUCUAAAAUAAAUCAGCUUGCCAGUGUUUGGUGGGUAUCACAGGUGUGAUAACUAUCUACGCUUGUGGUUUUCCACCAGGUAACCUUCAGCAGUGGAGGUUCGCUGGAGCUCACAGAUGUGUCUCUCCUCAGUGAGGACAGCUCUUUGAAUGUUUGAUCUCAAAUCAGGUAGGACUACCCGCUGAACUUAAGCAUAUCAAUAAGCGGAGG